RNAcentral lists this transfer RNA (71 nucleotides) under Marmota marmota marmota (Alpine marmot). It matches the Rfam family "tRNA". Rfam says of the family: Transfer RNA (tRNA) molecules are approximately 80 nucleotides in length. Their secondary structure includes four short double-helical elements and three loops (D, anti-codon, and T loops). Further hydrogen bonds mediate the characteristic L-shaped molecular structure. tRNAs have two regions of fundamental functional importance: the anti-codon, which is responsible for specific mRNA codon recognition, and the 3' end, to which the tRNAs corresponding amino acid is attached (by aminoacyl-tRNA synthetases). tRNAs cope with the degeneracy of the genetic code in two manners: having more than one tRNA (with a specific anti-codon) for a particular amino acid; and 'wobble' base-pairing, i.e. permitting non-standard base-pairing at the 3rd anti-codon position. RNAcentral also lists the same sequence under 3 other names. Lineage: Eukaryota; Metazoa; Chordata; Mammalia; Rodentia; Sciuridae. The record is from Rfam by way of RNAcentral.
AUGGCUGUGGCUCAGUGGUAGAGCACUUGCCUUGCAUGUGUGAGGCACUGGGUUCAAUCCUCAGCACCACA